AUGAGGCACACAGCCACUUCUCGUCAGGAGCUGGUUGAAAACUGUGCUGUGCCUGUAGCAGGAAUGGCACAAGAUGAUAGCCGUCAUGGGCAAGUGCCAUCCAGCUUUCAUCAUGGUGCCACAAGGAACUUGACCUGUCCACCAAAGUGUAACAAAGGGAACCAGGAAGUCCUUAUUCUGUGUUUGUGGACACCAAGAUGAGCAAACUACAUCUCCAUGAAACAGAAGAACAGCCACAUUUCAGGGAGACAGGAGCAGAGUCUGAUGUGCAUGCUAUUAAGGAAGACCAGGAGAAUUCUGAUGACACAGAAGAGGAGGAGGAAGAAGAGGAAGAAGUCUUUUACAAAAGGGAGCAGAUCAUAGUGGAGGUAAACCUUAAUAAUCAAACAUUAAAUGUACCUAAAGGGGAAAAGGGUACCUCUUCUCAAUCCAAAGAGACUCCUGUUCUUAAACAAUGAGGAGGAAGAGAGAGAGGAAGGGGCCACAGAUAACAGCAAUGACUAUGGAGAGAAUGAUAAGCAGAAGAAAAAGGAGAAGAUAACAGAGAAAGUCAGCGUUACAGAAAGAAGAAUGAGGAGAGCUGCCUCUGUUGCUGCAGCUACCACUUCCCCUACUCCCAGAACUACAAGAGGUUGCAGGAAGAGUGCAGAGCCACCUAAGCGUAAGAAGCGGGAAACAAAGGAGCCUGAAGCACCAGUGCAGAAAGCUAAGUUGCCCCAGGGUAUUUAAUGCUCACUGGUGUCUGGAGAAGCAAAUGAAUAUUACUCAUAGGCACAUGCAGAUUUGUGAUAAAUGUGGCAAUAAGUUUGUCCUGGAAAGUGAGCUAUAUCUUCACCGGCAAACAGACUGUGAAAAAAACAUUUAGUUUGUUGCCUGUAAUAAAUCGUUCAAGAAACUGGAUCCUUCAUGAACAUAUCAAGAUCGUCCAUGGAUAUGAAGAAAAGAAAUUUUCCUGUGAAAUUUGUGAGAAAAAAUUCUAUGCCAUGGCUCAUGUGCGAAAACACAUGGUUGCACACAUGAAAGACAUGCCAUUUACAUGUGAAACCUGUGGAAAAUCAUUCAAAUGCAGUAUGUCACUCAUGGGGCACUCCCUGCAGCAUUCUGGAGAGAAGUCCUUCAGAUGCGAGAACUGUGACGAAAGGUUUCAGUACAAUUACCAGCUACACACCCACAUGAGCAUCCACGUUGGGCACAAACAGUUCAUGUGCCAGUGGUGUGGCAAGGAUUUCAACACGAAGCAGUAUUUUCAUGAACACAUGAAAACAAACACUGGAGAGAAACCCUUUAUCUGUGAAAUCUGUGGCAAAAG
Molecule: long non-coding RNA, 1309 nt
Filed under: Homo sapiens (human)
Lineage: Eukaryota; Metazoa; Chordata; Mammalia; Primates; Hominidae
Description: non-protein coding lnc-CISH-3:1
Source: RNAcentral